This is a long non-coding RNA of Mobula hypostoma (lesser devil ray), 821 nucleotides long. RefSeq lists it as uncharacterized. The transcript has 3 exons. The record is from RefSeq and is a predicted model, not a curated record. NCBI's taxonomy places the organism in Eukaryota, Metazoa, Chordata, Chondrichthyes, Myliobatiformes, Myliobatidae.
CGGCUGCAAGUCCAGCAUGCAGACAAAAAUUUGUCCUUUUGCAUAAUACCUCAUAGCAAAAAUAAGCUAUGAGCAACUAAAUUAGAUAUUGAACUGUUUUGAAAUGUUUCUUUUCACCGGUAACUAUGAUUAACUUGAGAUUGGGGCUGAUAUGUAGUUUUAUUCUGAAAGCCCCGGCAUUUUUGGCUGGUCUAGUUUUGGUCUAACACCAGGAACUGAUGGAUAUUAUAAGCAAGAAGCUGAAGGUGCUGCUUGAUGCCUGAGAGAUCAUGAAGGUCGACAUCCUGUUCAACCGCCGGAUGCAUAAUGAGACAAAGGCCAUGGUGAGAGGUGUCUGCAAACCAAUAAGGUUGGCACGUUCACAAUGUUCAUUGGAGAUCUGGACAAAGUUGUCAACCUGCUGUUGACCCUUUUUGACUGGAGUUGUGAUUUACCUUGACAUCCUGGAGGACGGCACCUCUCCUGACAAGCAGUGGAACCUUACUCAAUCACCAAAGUCCCUAACAAGAUGCAAGAAAAUACUGAAGAGCAGAAUGGAAUAUGGAAGUGUUUGACAUGUUUUCAAACUACCUGAGAGAUGACAAGCUCCUUGAGAAAAUUAAAUGACCCUAAUCACGGAAAAGAUGGACUUGGAGGACAAAGUUAGGCUGAAAAGCUGUCGGGUCCCUUGGAGCAUCAGCCAGUUAACUACAAACAGAAGCAGAAACUGAAGGAUUUUAAAUAACAAAACAUUGACAUGGUCAUCGUUCCAUGUUUGGCAUUCUAAAUCCUCAGAGGACCGUACUGCUCUUCAAGGGAAUUGGACAAUUUCUUUUAACCGU